AUGCACGCUGGCGGCGUGCCUCAUACAUGCAAGUCGCGCGCACGGACGAGAAGCUUGCUUUUCUGAUGUUAGCGGCGGACGGGUGAGUAACACGUGGAUAACCUACCUAUAAGACUGGGAUAACUUCGGGAAACCGGAGCUAAUACCGGAUAAUAUUUUGAACCGCAUGGUUCAAAAGUGAAAGACGGUCUUGCUGUCACUUAUAGAUGGAUCCGCGCUGCAUUAGCUAGUUGGUAAGGUAACGGCUUACCAAGGCAACGAUGCAUAGCCGACCUGAGAGGGUGAUCGGCCACACUGGAACUGAGACACGGUCCAGACUCCUACGGGAGGCAGCAGUAGGGAAUCUUCCGCAAUGGGCGAAAGCCUGACGGAGCAACGCCGCGUGAGUGAUGAAGGUCUUCGGAUCGUAAAACUCUGUUAUUAGGGAAGAACAUAUGUGUAAGUAACUGUGCACAUCUUGACGGUACCUAAUCAGAAAGCCACGGCUAACUACGUG
RNAcentral lists this ribosomal RNA (496 nucleotides) under uncultured bacterium. RNAcentral's name for it is "partial 16S ribosomal RNA". It matches the Rfam family "Bacterial small subunit ribosomal RNA", at positions 29 to 507 of the family's 1533-position model. The record is from RNAcentral.